RNAcentral lists this ribosomal RNA (497 nucleotides) under uncultured bacterium. RNAcentral describes it as "partial 16S ribosomal RNA". It matches the Rfam family "Bacterial small subunit ribosomal RNA", at positions 28 to 507 of the family's 1533-position model. The record is from RNAcentral.
GAUGAACGCUGGCGGCGUGCCUAAUACAUGCAAGUCGAGCGAACAGACGAGGAGCUUGCUCCUUUGACGUUAGCGGCGGACGGGUGAGUAACACGUAGGUAACCUACCUAUAAGACUGGGAUAACUUCGGGAAACCGGAGCUAAUACCGGAUAAUAUUUCGAACCGCAUGGUUCGAUAGUGAAAGAUGGCUUUGCUAUCACUUAUAGAUGGACCUGCGCCGUAUUAGCUAGUUGGUAAGGUAACGGCUUACCAAGGCAACGAUACGUAGCCGACCUGAGAGGGUGAUCGGCCACACUGGAACUGAGACACGGUCCAGACUCCUACGGGAGGCAGCAGUAGGGAAUCUUCCGCAAUGGGCGAAAGCCUGACGGAGCAACGCCGCGUGAGUGAUGAAGGUCUUCGGAUCGUAAAACUCUGUUAUUAGGGAAGAACAAACGUGUAAGUAACUGUGCACGUCUUGACGGUACCUAGUCAGAAAGCCACGGCUAACUACGUG